AGCAGCCGCGGUAAUUCCAGCUCCAAUAGCGUAUAUUAAAGUUGUUGCAGUUAAAAAGCUCGUAGUUGAAUUUCGGGAUCAGCGCGUCGGUCGUGCCUCCGGUAUGCACUGGCGCCGCUGGUUUCUCCCUUCUGAGGAACCGUGAUGUCAUUAAUUUGGUGUUGCGGGAAAUCAGGACUGUUACUUUGAAAAAUUAGAGUGUUUAAAGCGGGCACGCGCUUGAAUACAUUAGCAUGGAAUAACGAAAUAGGACGUUCGAUCUUAUUUUGUUGGUUUCUAGGAUUGACGUAAUGAUUAAUAGGGAUAGUUGGGGGCAUUAGUAUUCAAUUGUCAGAGGUGAAAUUCUUGGAUUUAUUGAAGACUAACUACUGCGAAAGCAUUUGCCAAGGAUGUUUUCAUUAAUCAAGAACGAAAGUUAGGGGAUCGAAGACGAUCAGAUACCGUCGUAGUCUUAACCAUAAACUAUGCCGACUAGGGAUCGGAUGAUGUUAAUUUUAAUGACUCAUUCGGCGCCUUAAC
RNAcentral lists this ribosomal RNA (519 nucleotides) under uncultured Glomeromycotina. RNAcentral's name for it is "SSU rRNA". It matches the Rfam family "Eukaryotic small subunit ribosomal RNA", at positions 569 to 1092 of the family's 1831-position model. The record is from RNAcentral. Lineage: Eukaryota; Fungi; Glomeromycota.